This is a long non-coding RNA of Phragmites australis (common reed), 937 nucleotides long. RefSeq lists it as uncharacterized. The transcript has 3 exons. Lineage: Eukaryota; Viridiplantae; Streptophyta; Magnoliopsida; Poales; Poaceae. The record is from RefSeq and is a predicted model, not a curated record.
CAGCCUUGAUGAAGGAGGCUGAAGAGCAUGUAGCCAAAGUAAGAGAGAACUUGAAAGCAGCUCAAAGCAGACAAAAGAGUUAUGCCGACACUAGAAGGAGAAAUCUUGAGUUCGAGACAGGAGAUCAUGUGUAUCUGAAGGUAUCGCCGAUAAGAGGCACACGACGAUUUCGGAUUCGAGGAAAGUUAGCACCUCGAUACAUUGGACCAUACAAGAUAUUAAGCAGGAUUGGUGCCGUGGCAUACCGCCUCGCACUUCCAGAAGAGAUGGCAGACAUUCACAACGUCUUCCAUGUAUCACAGUUGAAGAAGUGCUUAAGGAUUCCUGAAGAGCAAGUACCGAUAGAAGUGAUGGACCUUCAACCGGACCUACGGUACCAAGAGCGACCAAUAAAAAUAUUGGAUACAACAGAGCGACAAACUAGAAGAUCUGUAGUCAGAUUCUGUCAAGUACAGUGGAGCAACCACAAGGAGGCUGAAGCUACCUGGGAGCGUGAAGAUGAUCUUCGGAAGGAGUUCCCCUACCUCUUCGAAGAAGAACCUCAAAUCUCGAGGACGAGAUUUUCCUAAGUGGGAGGAAGGAGCAUUCGAGGACGACCCCGAGGACCCAGAGUUUGAAGGAGCAGGCGAGGACUUCAACGAAGAUGAUCCAGAGGCCGACUUCGCCGAAGAAGGAGAUGAAGAUUAGAGAAGCCGGUUUCGUCUGCACUCAAGCUGCCUGUAGGGCUUGGGUCGCUUUUGUAUGUUUCCGCUGUGUUCUGAGAGUUUGUAAGAUUAUGCCUUCGGACUUCUAUUGUAAUGAACUCUGUAUUGUACCUUAUUAUCGUAUUUAUCCGAUGUAUGACUAUGAUGUCUACUUCUGUUGGAGUUCGUGCGUACCAGCUACUGAUCCAGGGACUGGUAUGAGCUACACGAGGUGACCCCAAAGGAGGGGUCCG